GACAGAGGGUGCAAACGUUGCUCGGAAUCACUGGGCGUAAAGGGCGUGUAGGCGGGAAGGAAAGUCAGAUGUGAAAUCCCUGGGCUCAACCCAGGAACUGCAUUUGAAACUCCCUUUCUUGAGUGUCGGAGAGGAAAGCGGAAUUCCUGGUGUAGAGGUGAAAUUCGUAGAUAUCAGGAGGAACACCGGUGGCGAAGGCGGCUUUCUGGACGACAACUGACGCUGAGACGCGAAAGCGUGGGGAGCAGACGGG
Molecule: ribosomal RNA, 253 nt
Filed under: uncultured bacterium
Lineage: Bacteria
Description: partial 16S ribosomal RNA
Rfam family: Bacterial small subunit ribosomal RNA
Source: RNAcentral